Molecule: ribosomal RNA, 532 nt
Filed under: Cherax parvus
Lineage: Eukaryota; Metazoa; Arthropoda; Malacostraca; Decapoda; Parastacidae
Description: partial 16S ribosomal RNA
Rfam family: Archaeal large subunit ribosomal RNA
Source: RNAcentral
GGUCUGGCCUGCCCGCUGAAGGUUUUUAAGGGCCGCGGUAUUAUGACCGUGCGAAGGUAGCAUAAUCAUUAGUCUUUUAAUUGGAGGCUGGAAUGAAUGGUUAGACGAGAAAUUAACUGUCUUGAAUUUUGAAACUUGAAUUUAACUUUUAAGUGAGAAGGCUUAAAUGGGCUAGGGGGACGAUAAGACCCUAUAAAGUUUGUACAUUAGGCUAAUUAAGAGUGAUUUAGAUUUAUAAGGCUUUAUUAUUAGGGGGUGUUAAGUUGGGGCGACUAGGAUAUAAUUUAUAUAACUGUUUCUUUAUUAUAAUCAGAAAUAUUUGAGUUUAUGAUCCUUUUUUAGGAUUUUUAGAGUAAAUUACUUUAGGGAUAACAGCGUAAUUUUUUUUGAGAGUUCAUAUCGAUAAAAGAGUUUGCGACCUCGAUGUUGAAUUAAAAUUUCUUUGUGAUGCAGCAGUUACAUGAGAAGGUCUGUUCGACCUUUAAAAUUUUACAUGAUUUGAGUUCAGACCGGCGUGAGCCAGGUUGGUUUU